AAUAAAAUAAUUAUAAAGGUUAUAACAUAACCGUAUAAACUGUCAACUAUCAACCAACAGGGGGUUGUAAUAUAAAAGUUUCAAUAAAACGUUGACAGGACCUAAGUGUAAUAAAUAAGAGUUUUUUAUAAUAAAAACUAACUUGAGGUCAAGUAUUACUGUGCAGGUAAUUAACCCAAGACUCGUGACAAAAGAAUUAUAAAAGCAGAAGGGCCAAAGUGAAAAAGUUUCAAAUAUCCGUUAAUGGACCAAUCACAACGGCCGGAUUUUAUUAAGCUUAAUUAGUUACGAG
This 292-nucleotide long non-coding RNA is filed under the name Zostera marina. RNAcentral describes it as "long non-coding RNA (ZMAR_LNC000392)". Lineage: Eukaryota; Viridiplantae; Streptophyta; Magnoliopsida; Alismatales; Zosteraceae. The record is from RNAcentral.